RNAcentral lists this transfer RNA (72 nucleotides) under Mycobacterium phage prophiGD43A-4. Its description in RNAcentral is "tRNA-Trp". It matches the Rfam family "tRNA". From Rfam's summary of the family: Transfer RNA (tRNA) molecules are approximately 80 nucleotides in length. Their secondary structure includes four short double-helical elements and three loops (D, anti-codon, and T loops). The record is from RNAcentral. Lineage: Duplodnaviria; Heunggongvirae; Uroviricota; Caudoviricetes.
GUCGACGUAGCUCAAUUGGUAGAGCAGCGGUCUCCAAAACCGCAAUGCAGGUUCGAGUCCUGUCGUCUUCGC